Molecule: ribosomal RNA, 434 nt
Filed under: uncultured Pseudoflavonifractor sp.
Lineage: Bacteria; Bacillati; Bacillota; Clostridia; Eubacteriales; Oscillospiraceae
Description: bacterial SSU rRNA
Rfam family: Bacterial small subunit ribosomal RNA
Source: RNAcentral
ACGGGAGGCAGCGGUGGGGGAUAUUGCACAAUGGGGGAAACCCUGAUGCAGCGACGCCGCGUGAGUGAAGAAGUAUUUCGGUAUGUAAAGCUCUAUCAGCAGGAAAGAUAAUGACGGUACCUGACUAAGAAGCACCGGCUAAAUACGUGCCAGCAGCCGCGGUAAUACGUAGGGGGCAAGCGUUAUCCGGAUUUAUUGGGUUUAAAGGGCGUGUAGGCGGGACAGCAAGUCAGAUGUGAAAGCAUGAGGCUCAACUUCGUGUCUGCAUUUGAAACUGCUGUUCUUGAGUGCUGGAGAGGCUAACGGAACUCCUAGUGUAGCGGUGAAAUGCGUAGAUAUUAGGAAGAACACCAGUGGCGAAGGCGGUUAGCUGGACAGUAACUGACGCUGAGGCGCGAAAGCGUGGGUAGCAAACAGGAUUAGAUACCCUGGUA